GAUGAACGCUGGCGGCGUGCCUAAUACAUGCAAGUCGAGCGAACGGACGAGAAGCUUGCUUCUCUGAUGUUAGCGGCGGACGGGUGAGUAACACGUGGAUAACCUACCUAUAAGACUGGGAUAACUUCGGGAAACCGGAGCUAAUACCGGAUAAUAUUUUGAACCGCAUGGUUCAAAAGUGAAAGACGGUCUUGCUGUCACUUAUAGAUGGAUCCGCGCUGCAUUAGCUAGUUGGUAAGGUAACGGCUUACCAAGGCAACGAUGCAUAGCCGACCUGAGAGGGUGAUCGGCCACACUGGAACUGAGACACGGUCCAGACGCCUACGGGAGGCAACAGUAGGGAAUCUUCCGCAAUGGGCGAAAGCCUGACGGAGCAACGCCGCGUGAGUGAUGAAGGUCUUCGGAUCGUAAAACUCUGUUAUUAGGGAAGAACAUAUGUGUAAGUAACUGUGCACAUCUUGACGGUACCUAAUCAGAAAGCCACGGCUAACUACGUG
This 497-nucleotide ribosomal RNA is filed under the name uncultured bacterium. Its description in RNAcentral is "partial 16S ribosomal RNA". It matches the Rfam family "Bacterial small subunit ribosomal RNA", at positions 28 to 507 of the family's 1533-position model. The record is from RNAcentral.